UACGUAGGGGGCGAGCGUUGUCCGGAUUUAUUGGGCGUAAAGGGCACGUAGGCGGCCAUUCAAGUCGAUCGUGAAAGCUCGGGGCUCAACCCCGAGACUGCGGUCGAUACUGGAUGGCUAGAGGCUGGUAGGGGGGUGUGGAAUUCCCGGUGUAGCGGUGGAAUGCGCAGAUAUCGGGAGGAACACCGGUGGCGAAGGCGGCACCCUGGGCCAGUCCUGACGCUGAUGUGCGAAAGCGUGGGGAGCAAACAGG
Molecule: ribosomal RNA, 253 nt
Filed under: uncultured bacterium
Lineage: Bacteria
Also listed under: 1 other name
Description: partial 16S ribosomal RNA
Rfam family: Bacterial small subunit ribosomal RNA
Source: RNAcentral